This 119-nucleotide ribosomal RNA is filed under the name uncultured bacterium. Its description in RNAcentral is "partial 16S ribosomal RNA". It matches the Rfam family "Bacterial small subunit ribosomal RNA", at positions 1372 to 1500 of the family's 1533-position model. The record is from RNAcentral.
UCCCGGGCCUUGUACACACGCCCGUCAAGCCAUGGAAGCUGGGGGUGCCUGAAGUUCGUGACCGGAAGGAGCGACCUAGGGCAAAACCGGUGACUGGGGCUAAGUCGUAACAAGGUAUC